Molecule: transfer RNA, 74 nt
Filed under: Pelotretis flavilatus (southern lemon sole)
Lineage: Eukaryota; Metazoa; Chordata; Actinopteri; Pleuronectiformes; Rhombosoleidae
Description: tRNA-Glu
Rfam family: tRNA
About the family: Transfer RNA (tRNA) molecules are approximately 80 nucleotides in length. Their secondary structure includes four short double-helical elements and three loops (D, anti-codon, and T loops). Further hydrogen bonds mediate the characteristic L-shaped molecular structure. tRNAs have two regions of fundamental functional importance: the anti-codon, which is responsible for specific mRNA codon recognition, and the 3' end, to which the tRNAs corresponding amino acid is attached (by aminoacyl-tRNA synthetases). tRNAs cope with the degeneracy of the genetic code in two manners: having more than one tRNA (with a specific anti-codon) for a particular amino acid; and 'wobble' base-pairing, i.e. permitting non-standard base-pairing at the 3rd anti-codon position.
Source: RNAcentral
AUUUUUAUAGUAUAAUAUCUUAAGUACACUGGCUUUUCAGGCCAUUAUUCCCGGUUAGAGUCCGGGUAAAAAUA